CUUUAUUUCAAAAUAUGAGAGUGAUGACGGAGACCAGAGAAUGAGGAUCGAGGCCUAAUUGACCUUCUCUAUGAGCACAAAAGAGAAAAACACAAGCUAUGCGUCCUUUGGCAAUGUGCAGGCAUGCUAGAGCAUUGCAAGUUCCAGAGCAGAGUCAACAUAGCUGAGAUCUGCUUGUUAACUCGGGUACACGCUAUAGACAACAAGAGGCAGAUGAAGCUUCUGUUAAUCCAGGUGUUUGUUCGCGUGUUUACAUUAAUAAAAGCAAGGUGAGCUCUUUGUCCACGGGGGCAAGAGUCCCCUUGACCCUUCAUUCCAAAUUAUAUUUGUGUCUUUUGUCUUUUAUCCUCAUUCACCCCCAGUCGAGGAUAAUCUCCUAGGUUUGUUCCUACAGAGUGGGGUGGUAAGCAUCUGAUUGAAAUGAAGACUAUUUUGCAUUGCAGCAGAUUCAUUAUUAAAAGAAAGUAUAAAAAAUGACUUCCAGGUAGAUUUCAGUCAGAAGUUUCCUUCCUGUUUUUAAUAUCUAAAAGGUGUGUUUUUAUUCAUUACCCAUAUGACCCUCAGAAUCUCCUCCACAGGAUAUUUGUUAACCCUGAAUCAGAGUAUUAUAGCAGCUCACCGUAUCCCUCAAUAAUUCAGGAAUGCUCAGUUACAAGGAUAUUUACCAGAGAAGAGUGCAAACAAAAACAAGAACUUGCAGGCUCUGCUUCUCCAUUUUUUGGUUCAUUCAACAGAUAAAGAGAUAUUCUUACUUUACCAUGAGUCUACAUAUGCAACUUUGAAGGAAGGCUACAGUGUGUCCUUAAUAAGACAAGUGUAUCUAAUGUGGAAAUAGUACUGUUAAAAGGAUUUGUUCUGGGAUUCAUGUUAGAGGUACAUAUGAAAGCAAUUUAUAUACAUUUUAGUUUUGACAAGAUAAAACAGUAUAACAACACAACAUAUAGGAAAAUUUACUUAUAACACUACCAGUAAUUUCAGUUACCAGCACAUCCUUGGGUGAAAUAAUUUAAAGGGUAAUAGAAAACAAAAAUGAGAUUGUUUGUGAAAUUUCAUUCUGCCAGUAGUACUUGUUAGUUUUAGGUAAGUAAUCCUACUGAAAUAUAUAAUAUCUAAUUGUAUUUUUAUACCUUGCCAUUCAUAUAGUCCUAGAAACAAUUCUAUAAAAUGGAUAUCAGGUUAUUACCAUUUAAAUAUUAAAGAUCUAAGGUUAGGAAAGAUAAGAAAUGUGUCCAAGUUAAUAGAGUUAAUAAUUGGUUAAUACCGAAUUUGAACACAGAUCUACAGUUCUGAGUUCUUACCAGUCUCACUUUGCUACUGGCUUCCUUCAAGAAUUCAUAGUUUUCUAGAUUAGAAGGUCACAUAAUUUAAUGUUGAAAUUAUAUUCUAGAGUUAUAGGUAGACAGGCUUGGAAACAGAUGACAGUGGUUUUAAGAGUAAUUGAAGGUGCCUGGAAAGGGUCCAUAAAGGAGAUAAUAUUUGAAUUAGGUCUUGAAUGACUGAGGGAUUCUGGACAAGUUCAUGCAGUAUUUUCUGCACAAAGGAAUUUUAGGGUUAAAAGCACUUUGCUAUGAGUAUUGGGAGAUCUCAGAGCCAUUUUGCUACAUAACCAUGUGCAUGUGCAUUCCCUCCAUGGAGGAACCAUAACACUGCUCAAUCUCAAGACACCAUUUCCAUGGUAUUGCUCUAGUGGUUGCUCAUUGCUUAGAGUAUCCUAGGGGAGAUGCCUCCUGAAUUCAUG
This is a long non-coding RNA of Heterocephalus glaber (naked mole-rat), 1738 nucleotides long. The record is from Ensembl. Lineage: Eukaryota; Metazoa; Chordata; Mammalia; Rodentia; Bathyergidae.